RNAcentral lists this long non-coding RNA (1698 nucleotides) under Cyanistes caeruleus (blue tit). Its description in RNAcentral is "lncRNA (ENSCCEG00000023130.1)". The record is from RNAcentral. Lineage: Eukaryota; Metazoa; Chordata; Aves; Passeriformes; Paridae.
CAUAAUAGAACUUGUGUAAUCAAUCUUUCUUUCUGUCCUCAGCAACAAGAUUUUGAUCUCCUAUCAACCAUCAGUCACACAUGACAGGAAGGGAUCUCAAGGGACAGGCUCAGGAGUAUUCGGGGGGAGCUGCACAGACUGGAGAGCCCCUGGAGCUCUGCAAAGACAGGAACAUCUCCCUGCAGCAGGACGAGGUGCUGAGCACUGAGGUGCCCCAGGCUUUGUCCCCUGCAAGGGGACAGAUCCACUUCUGGCUGGGCAGGGCUGGGGUGCCAGGGAUGCUCUGGGCACCUGGUGACCCCUGUGAGGGGACAGGAGGCUGGGACACACACCCAGGGGAGGUGUCUGCUGCCUCCUCCCAAAGGUGGGAACUCCUGCCUGUUUCUGCACCCACCACUGUGAAAACCAUGUCCUGGUUUUGUCUCUGCAAGGAUUGCAACUUCCAGAGCACCUCAUUUGUCACUGACCCCUUUUUCCUUCCCCUGUUUCAGCUUCCCUGCAGCUCCAAGAGGUUGGAAAUGCCCAGAGAUCUCUCUCUUCCCUUGGCUGGGCACAUCCACGGCGCCUCUGCCCAACGGUGGCAGCGCCUGGGCUCUGCUGGGGACAGACAGACAGACACCUGGAGAAGCUCCUGUUGCCUCUUUUCCGGGGAGUUUGGCCCCUCCAGCCCCUCAAAUGGUGGGAUGGUUUCUGCUUGAGCAGCUGCUGCACAGGCACCAACCACAACUCCUUGCAGUGAACUGGAUGGAGAUUGCUGCUGCAUCCCAGGGCUCCCAGAGAGUCCCUGCAGAGCGAGGGGGACAUUCCUGGCAGCCCCAUCCCACUGGGGAGUGGGGACAGCCGGGCUGAGCGUGGUGGGGACACCAGGGGCUGCAGGGGGCUGAUGGUCCCCAGGAGCUCCUUCUCCAUCACCACAUCCCCUGGGCCAGGCUCCAGCCUCCUGUGAGGUGGAGGUGCAGGAAAUCCCCAAGCAGAGAUCAGACUGGGAGUCCCUGAGGCCCGAUCUCCUGGGACACGCUGUGCAGGAAGCUGAAGCUCAGCUUCUGGCUGGAUUUCCAGCAGAAAAUUGGAAUGCCAUCAGGAUGAAAUUUUCCCUACAGUGCAUUUCAAACAUGCAAAUCCUGGUUUUCCCUUGGAAAAUGUUCUCAGUUGAACUUCCCACCCUCCUACUGCACAUCUGACUGUGUUUCUGCACAUUCAGUUCCCCUGAUUGCACGGGAGGUGCUUUGGGGUUUCUCACCAUCUUUGCCUCUGGACGUUGAUGUUCCAUGUCCCAUCCUCUUACCCCUGUGUGUCCUGAGGCCAGGUGAGCUGUGUGCACCUUGUCUGAGCUGCCCCGUCCCCGCUCCAGGGUGCAGGCAGAGCUCUGCCAGCGUCUGCACAUGGCAGGAGCUGCAGCAUCACUGGCGAGGGGACACCUCACCCACACCCUGCCGUGCUCGGCCCAGGACCACCCUGCACUGAUGGUCCCGGGAGCCCAGGUCAGCCCUUGGCCUCUGUCACCGUGUGCAGGGAGGGCAGAGAGCAUCCCUGGCUGCCAGGAUCAGCUGGUGGAUGUGGCCGCGCUCCCCACACCCACAGCUCCCACCUGGGGACACCCUGCCCUGUCCUUCUGCCUUCAGAGAUCAAAGAGCCUGGGGACACAGCGAGGGGACACUCGUGCAGUGGCAGCAGCUGUCAGGGCUGGGCCUGGCUGCU